This is a long non-coding RNA of Pseudophryne corroboree (corroboree frog), 829 nucleotides long. RefSeq lists it as uncharacterized. The record is from RefSeq and is a predicted model, not a curated record. The transcript is spliced from 3 exons. NCBI's taxonomy places the organism in Eukaryota, Metazoa, Chordata, Amphibia, Anura, Myobatrachidae.
AGUUAAUCAAGGAUAACACAGACUGUGUGGCAUAGCUCUGACGCCGGCUAGAUCAAGACUUGAAGGUGCGAAGGUAGAAGUCCUGAAAACAUGACAUGUUGGGGGUACUGGAAGACUGGAGUUCAGAACCACAGGACCAAGUGAUGGCUACACCUUAAAGCAUGCGGACAAUCGAGAGCAACAAGAGGGCACAAAGUACAAAGGGCUUUUCGAAGGGCACUAUGAAGGUCUAUCCAGCUGUUCAUUUUUGUAACAUGGGGCCUGGCCCCGCCUCCUUACCACCCGGGCCCUGCUUAUGACUCAACGGCCCUGAGGACUGUACUUAUUAUAGAGUUAUAGAGGUGAAUGUGUGUAAAUAGUGUUAAUGUAUUGCUUAAAAUGUGCAUGGACAUACACAAAUGCCAAAGUGUAUGAGACUCAAUCUCGGCCAAACUUAAGCCCUUUAGUGGAGUGGGAAUGGCCAUGUGUGGCAUAUAACCCCACUGAGAAAGCACUUAGUCUACCGCUUUAUAACAAUUCAGUAAUUCCGAUCUGCAAAUUGAAACUCACCUCUGCACUGCUAAGCAAAUAACGCACACUCAGGCAAGUGUUGCGUGUACGUAGAUGGAAUUUUGGACUAUGCAGACUUGUACACAGACACUAUAGUGCAUGCUUACAGUGAUGAUAGCUACUCCAACAAGCAUAUGGAUGGGGAAUGUGCAGCCGCAUAGAUUCAUGCAACUCUGCAUACUGCGGAGCCGAAUAUCACUAUUUACUGUAUUUCCUUGUAUACAAUGGGGCAGCACUUGCAACCAACUUGCCUGUAAUUCAAUUGAAUCAUCCCUAUAAU